Molecule: ribosomal RNA, 270 nt
Filed under: uncultured archaeon
Lineage: Archaea
Description: partial 16S ribosomal RNA
Rfam family: Archaeal small subunit ribosomal RNA
Source: RNAcentral
AAGCACCUCAAGUGGUCAGGAUGCUUAUUGGGCCUAAAGCAUCCGUAGCCGGCGCUGUAAGUUUUCGGUUAAAUCUGUACGCUCAACGUACAGGCUGCCGGGAAUACUGCAGCGCUAGGGAGUGGGAGAGGUAGACGGUACUCGGUAGGAAGGGGUAAAAUCCUUUGAUCUAUUGAUGACCACCUGUGGCGAAGGCGGUCUACCAGAACACGUCCGACGGUGAGGGAUGAAAGCUGGGGGAGCAAACCGGAUUAGAGACCCGCGUAGUCC